UCCUCGUUUAAGCGAGGCAGUCUGUCCAGAGUGCUCCCUGCUCUCGCAGGGGUGGCAACAGGACACAAGGGUUGCGCUCGUUGCGGGACUUAACCCAACAUCUCACGACACGAGCUGACGACAGCCAUGCAGCACCUGUGUACGCGGGUAUUGCUACCUCGUCAGGCUUUCACCCUUCUACUACGUACAUGUCAAGGCCAGGUAAGGUUCUUCGCGUUGCAUCGAAUUGAGCCACAUACUCCACCGCUUGUGCAGGCCCCCGUCAAUUUCUUUGAGUUUUAAUCUUGCGACCGUACUCCCCAGGCGGCGCAUUUAACGCGUUAGCUUCGAUACUGCGUGCCAAAUUGCACCCAACAUCCAGUUCGCAUCGUUUAGGGCGUGGACUAC
Molecule: unclassified non-coding RNA, 387 nt
Filed under: uncultured Verrucomicrobiae bacterium
Lineage: Bacteria; Pseudomonadati; Verrucomicrobiota; Verrucomicrobiia
Description: contains 16S-23S intergenic spacer region
Source: RNAcentral